AGAGUUUGAUCAUGGCUCAGAAUCAACGCUGGCGGCGCGCUUAACACAUGCAAGUCGAACGAGAAAGGGGAGCAAUCCCUGAGUAAAGUGGCGUACGGGUGAGUAACACGUGGGUGAUCUACCUGUUAGUGGGGAAUAACUCCGCGAAAGUGAAGCUAAUACCGCAUAAUCCCGCAAGGGGAAAGUAGUAAUACGCUGACAGAGGAGCCCGCGGCUGAUUAGCUAGUUGGUGAGGUAAUGGCUCACCAAGGCUGCGAUCGGUAGCCGGCCUGAGAGGGCACACGGCCACACUGGCACUGAAACACGGGCCAGACUCCUACGGGAGGCAGCAGUGGGGAAUCUUGCACAAUGGGGGAAACCCUGAUGCAGCGACGCCGCGUGAGCGAUGAAGUCCUUCGGGAUGUAAAGCUCUUUCGACGGGAACGAUAAUGACGGUACCCGGAGAAGAAGCUGCGGCUAACUACGUGCCAGCAGCCGCGGUAAUACGUAGGCAGCGAGCGUUGUUCGGAAUUACUGGGCGUAAAGAGUGUGUAGGCGGUUUGGUAAGUUUGGUGUGAAAUCUCCCGGCUUAACUGGGAGGGUGCGCCGAAAACUGCCAGACUAGAGUGCCGGAGAGGAAAGCGGAAUUCCUGGUGUAGCGGUGAAAUGCGUAGAUAUCAGGAGGAACACCGGUGGUGUAGACGGCUUUCUGGACGGCCACUGACGCUGAGACACGAAAGCGUGGGGAGCAAACAGGAUUAGAUACCCUAGUAGUCC
RNAcentral lists this ribosomal RNA (756 nucleotides) under uncultured bacterium. RNAcentral's name for it is "bacterial SSU rRNA". It matches the Rfam family "Bacterial small subunit ribosomal RNA", at positions 8 to 796 of the family's 1533-position model. The record is from RNAcentral.